RNAcentral lists this ribosomal RNA (402 nucleotides) under uncultured Acidobacteriaceae bacterium. Its description in RNAcentral is "bacterial SSU rRNA". It matches the Rfam family "Bacterial small subunit ribosomal RNA", at positions 355 to 774 of the family's 1533-position model. RNAcentral also lists the same sequence under 1 other name. Lineage: Bacteria; Pseudomonadati; Acidobacteriota; Terriglobia; Terriglobales; Acidobacteriaceae. The record is from RNAcentral.
UGGGGAAUUUUGCGCAAUGGGGGAAACCCUGACGCAGCAACGCCGCGUGGAGGAUGAAAUCCCUUGGGAUGUAAACUCCUUUCGAUUGGGAAGAUUAUGACGGUACCAAUAGAAGAAGCCCCGGCUAACUUCGUGCCAGCAGCCGCGGUAAUACGAGGGGGGCAAGCGUUGUUCGGAAUUAUUGGGCGUAAAGGGCGCGUAGGCGGUUUGACAAGUCUGAUGUGAAAUCUCUGGGCUCAACCCAGAGUCUGCAUUAGAAACUGUCGGGCUUGAGUAUGGGAGAGGUGAGUGGAAUUUCCGGUGUAGCGGUGAAAUGCGUAGAUAUCGGAAGGAACACCUGUGGCGAAAGCGGCUCACUGGACCAUAACUGACGCUGAGGCGCGAAAGCUAGGGGAGCAAACA